This 202-nucleotide unclassified non-coding RNA is filed under the name fungal sp. RNAcentral's name for it is "partial internal transcribed spacer region". The record is from RNAcentral. Lineage: Eukaryota; Fungi.
AGUCGUAACAAGGUUGUGUAGAGUCGUAGUUUGCGCUGCAUACGGCGCGAGCAGACUGGAGGGGAGGUGCCAUUUUCCUUGAUUGCGCAUAUAGACUCUUAAACCAACGAGCCGCUUCGGUAGGGACUUCUACCUAACAGGGACAGUAGAUUUAGUGUAGGGUCGAGAGCACAACUGUUAGCAAUGGAUAUCUAGGUUCCCG